GAAAUGCGAUAAGUAAUGUGAAUUGUAGAAUUCAGUGAAUCAUCGAAUCUUUGAACGCACAUUGCGCCCGCCAGUAUUCUGGCGGGCAUGCCUGUUCGAGCGUCAUUUCAACCAUCAAGCCCCCGGCUUGUGUUGGGGACCUGCGGCUGCCCGCAGGCCCUGAAAAACAGUGGCGGGCUCGCUGUCACACCGAGCGUAGUAGCAUACAUUCUCGCUCAGGGCGUGCUGCGGGUUCCGGCCGUUAAACGACCUUCAUAACCCAAGGUUGACCUCGGAUCAGGUAGGAAGACCCGCUGAACUUAAGC
Molecule: unclassified non-coding RNA, 305 nt
Filed under: plant metagenome
Description: partial contains 5.8S ribosomal RNA, internal transcribed spacer 2, and large subunit ribosomal RNA
Rfam family: 5.8S ribosomal RNA (bases 1-105)
Source: RNAcentral